Mauremys reevesii (Reeves's turtle) is the source of this 997-nucleotide long non-coding RNA. RefSeq lists it as uncharacterized. The record is from RefSeq and is a predicted model, not a curated record. The transcript has 3 exons. Lineage: Eukaryota; Metazoa; Chordata; Testudines; Geoemydidae.
GAAGGACCUGGCUGCUUGGAGAGAAAGGUUAAUGAGCUUUCUAAGAAGAGGAACAUUUCUCAAGCAAAUUUUUUUUUGAAAGUGCGUGGAAUCCUGUGUCCUGGGUGCUGGAACAAUCUGUAUAGUGGGGGUGCUGAGAACCACUGAACUGUAAAUGCUGUAUAUGAUGCGGCAGCACCCCAGUUCCAGCACCUAUGCCUUCGUCUCUGCAGGCAGAAGAAAUCCACUAGCAGGAAACAACUUUUUUUUGCUCACAGAACCAGGAACCCACUUUUCAGCCUGCACCCUGACCCCAAAACUUCUCCCCAGGUUUCCUCCAAAGACAGCCACUUGCUUUUAACUCCUUCCUCAGGCUGCCUCUCUCACAUCGUCUGUUCUUGUCUGACCUCCAUUUCUGCGAGCUCUUUCUCCCCCGCCCCCUGCCCAAAACAACCAUACUUAACCCAAAGCUCCUGGGUGGGUUCACACACACCUUUUGUCUUAGGUGGGGUUUAUACUUAUAAUUAUGUUAAUUGAAGGGUGAGUUCACACCUAGUAAUCUCAAGGAGACUUUAACUCCACCCAUAACGAUAUUUCACCCAGCCCAUAAGGCUACCGAGGGAAGGACGAGAAGGGAUGGGGGAGUUUGGUGGUGGUGCAGCAGCUGCUGUGGCAACAGAGAAUACAUCUAUAGCUCCUUUCGUUUUGAUGCAGAAAAUACUAGGUAACACUCAAUAGGUUGGGUUAUGCAGGAGGUCAGAGAGGAGGAUCACCAUGGGACGACUCCAUCUAUGAAAAGUGAGCAAGUGCAACCCUCUUCCUUCCUGUCAAACAUCGGGGGGCUCCCCAACUCUGAGACACUGGAUAACUAGCGAGAAAAAGGACAAGUGGAUGCAUUUGUUUGGCAAAGAUUCACAGCUGCGCAUGAGCCAGUGUUACUCCAUCUUCAAAACACGCCCCCGCCAGCUGCCACUUAUUUGACUGAUGGCAAGUUAGAAGGGGGAUCCAUAAAAACAAA